UACAGAGGUCCCAAGCGUUGUUCGGAUUUACUGGGCGUAAAGCGCGCGCAGGCGGUCGCGUAUGUGCCGUGUGAAAGCGCCGGGCUACUCCCGGCGAGGUCAUGGUAGACAGCGCGACUUGAGCCUCGGAGAGGUCGGUGGAAUUCCGGGUGGAGCGGUGAAAUGCGCGGAUAUCAGGAGGAACACCGGUGGCGAAGGCGGAUCUCUGGGCCUUACCUGACGCUCAGGUGCGAAAGCUAGGGGAGCGAACAGG
This 253-nucleotide ribosomal RNA is filed under the name uncultured bacterium. RNAcentral describes it as "partial 16S ribosomal RNA". It matches the Rfam family "Bacterial small subunit ribosomal RNA", at positions 524 to 776 of the family's 1533-position model. The record is from RNAcentral.